This 205-nucleotide ribosomal RNA is filed under the name uncultured bacterium. RNAcentral's name for it is "partial 16S ribosomal RNA". It matches the Rfam family "Bacterial small subunit ribosomal RNA", at positions 524 to 725 of the family's 1533-position model. The record is from RNAcentral.
UACGAAGGGGCGUAGCGUUGCUCGGAAUCACUGGGCGGUAAAGACGCACGUAGGCGGAUCGUUAAGUCAGGGGUGAAAUACCUGGAGCUCAACUCCAGAACUGCCCUUGAUACUGGCGAUCUCGAGUUCGAGAGAGGUUGGUGGAACUCCGAGUGUAGAGGUGAAAUUCGUAGAUAUUCGGAAGAACACCAGUGGCGAAGGCGGC